AGCGAACGCUGGCGGCAGGCUUAACACAUGCAAGUCGAGCGGGCCCUUCGGGGUCAGCGGCCGACGGGUGAGUAACACGUGGGAACGUACCCUUUGGUUCGGAAUAACGCUGGGAAACUAGCGCUAAUACCGGAUACGCCCUUUUGGGGAAAGGCUUGCUGCCGAAGGAUCGGCCCGCGUCUGAUUAGCUAGUUGGUGGGGUAAUGGCCUACCAAGGCGACGAUCAGUAGCUGGUCUGAGAGGAUGAUCAGCCACACUGGGACUGAGACACGGCCCAGACUCCUACGGGAGGCAGCAGUGGGGAAUAUGGGACAAUGGGCGCAAGCCUGAUCCAGCCAGGCCGCGUGAGUGAUGAAGGCCUUAGGGUUGUAAAGCUCUUUUGUCCGGGACGAUAAGGACGGUACCGGAAGAAUAAACCCCGGCGAACUUCGU
Molecule: ribosomal RNA, 432 nt
Filed under: uncultured bacterium
Lineage: Bacteria
Description: partial 16S ribosomal RNA
Rfam family: Bacterial small subunit ribosomal RNA
Source: RNAcentral